Molecule: ribosomal RNA, 66 nt
Filed under: uncultured bacterium
Lineage: Bacteria
Description: partial 16S ribosomal RNA
Source: RNAcentral
CGANCCGUAACGCCGUACGACAACGGAGGACGAGGCGGCCACGGUAGGGUCGACGCGACUGGGGUG